This 3568-nucleotide long non-coding RNA is filed under the name Sus scrofa (pig). RNAcentral's name for it is "lncRNA (ENSSSCG00050056344.1)". The record is from RNAcentral. Lineage: Eukaryota; Metazoa; Chordata; Mammalia; Artiodactyla; Suidae.
GCUGCUGGGGUCUGGGUCCAAGGCCCGGGGUCUCUGAGGACGCACCUCCUUCCCAGCCCAUCCCCGUGCCCUCCGGGAGUGCCCUCCCUCGAGCGUCAGUGCCCAGGGAAGAAUGGCUCCCCAGGCCUCCCCAGUCGGGUGACACCUUGGGGGGGCUGUCGGCACAGGUGACACAGGCAGCACAGGGGAAAAGGCUCUUCCGUCUUCCUGAAGUAGCUCUGGUGCCAACGGAGCCCAGCGGGCGCAUGUGACCUGGGACCGCAGGCGAGGCCGGGGGCCCCCAGGGAGGGAGGGUGUGUCCUGUGUGUCACCUGUGAGCGCAGGUCCGUUCCUUCCCUCUGUCUAACUCACUUCGUGAGGCCUCGCCUGGCCAGGGACGUCAGGCCGUGCACGUUGUGCCAGCUGGACGGCCGCACAGAAACCAGACCGAAACUGCCGUGAGCCACCUGCAGGCGCGCUCCUUCCCUGCCACACUGUCAGGAGCCCGCAGACGGCAAAGGACGUUUAAACGCCUUAACUCGUCACAUGAUGACACCGGGCCGACAGGCAGAGCUGGUUUGUGGCAGCCCGGGGAGUGUCUCCGUGUCCCAACACUGUCCCCAGGCUUCUGGCCGCCUCCUUCCUUGUCUUCUGAACAGGAUUGAAUUCCUUCUCCUCUGGCCAGGACGGCACGGGAGCUGUUGAGAGCGGGAGCAGGUGGAAGAAAGCCCUGACUUAGCCUCGGGCCCGGCACCUGGGACCCUGGCACAAACCCCACCAGGCGUCCAGCCCCUCCCGGGCGCCGCCCCACCUGGUCCCUGGGGAGAGUUUCCUGAAACGCGCCGCGCAGCUCCCGUCUUGACGGCCUCCCAGCCAAGCUGCCGGGUCACUUGGAGGUGGUCCAGCAUCUUUUCUCCUUUGAGCCAAAGGACACCCUGUUUAAGAAUAAACCUCCUUGUACAGAGGCAGUAGUUGUUAACUAGUCCUGAACUAACUGAUCAGGGUGCUUCAAGGAUUCGUCCUGAGAGAAUGCCUCGUUUGGAACCAACGUGUCCAGGGACAGUGCUGUUGUUCACACAACAACAUACUGGGGAGGGCACUGCCCCUCGUCCUCACGGGACUGUGCCAGGCUUGUUCCCUGGCCCCCGGCAGCCAGGGAUCACAUCUACCUAAACAGGUGCCCGAGGCCAUGCUGGCCACGUGCAGGGGGAGAGGGAUGGGCCAGGGUCCUGACUUCCGGUCCCCUCCGUCCCCAAACUCACCAGAGCUGACCGCCACCCCCAGGCUCUCAGCUCUGCUCCUGGGGGUCCCGCCCGCGCCCCCCGCCCCACCAGGACAGCGGGCCUUGCCCCUCAUGCUUGGUCCUGAGGCAGGUCCUCGGGGGCGGAAGUCAGAUGCUAUGUCACUGGAAGACUUUUCAUGUCACUAAACUCUCACAUCAGAAACGAGAGGUUCUUGGUGAGGCCCCGGGUCCCAGCUUUUUAAGGAGCCUGUGCCAUCACCACGUUAGCUCCUCUCGAUUGGACCUGCUGUCCUGCCUCCUGUUGGAGGGGCUGGAUUUUACAGACGCCCGUCUGAGGUUCUCGAUUAGUUCCUAAGCCUUUCAAACCAGGGGCUGCCUGACCCCUGCUUCCCCCCCCCCACCCCCGCCGCCCCGGCUUGUCCCUCCCGCGCUGAUUCAGGAGUGAAGGAGUGGGGGGGCGGGUUUCUGGGACCCUUGAGUAUUUGCACAGUUUUCUCUAGAUCAGAGUUCAGGAAGCAGGAUUACUGAUGCUAACGGCCCCCUUCUCUCGCUUCUUCUUCUCUCCCUGCUGUGAAAGGCUGGCCCCGGUCUAAAUCCCAGCGCUGACAUGCGAGAGUCACGUCAGGUCAAUGACUUGGCUUCCUGAAACCCGCUUCCCCCCACUUCCUGCCUCUGUCUGUUUCCCUCUCCAGAUUUUUUUUUUUAAGGGCCGCACCCACGGCAUGUGGAAGUUCCCAGGCUAGGGGUUGAAUCGGAGCUACAGCUGCCGGGCUGCACCACAGCUACGGUAAUGCAGGAUCUGAGCCGCAUCUGCAACCUAUACCCCAGCUCAUGGCAACGCCAGAUCCUUAACCCACUGAGCGAGGCCAGGCAUCGAACCCGCGUCCUCACAGAUACUAGUUGGGUUCAUUACUGCUGAGCUGCAGCGGGAACUCCUCCCUUCCCAAACUGUAACACCAAAGUCAAGGCAGACCCAGGAUGGUCUGGAAGAGCUCUCUAAACACGUCACCUGCACCUGCACCCCUCCCCUUCCUGUCCCCACAGUAUAGUAGGAAAGAAUGGCUCUCCCCAGGUCACUGGGCCUCGCAGACACCCUGGCUUUGUCUAUGCCUGGAGCUGGGUCACAGACUAUGCCAGAAAAGGCACGGACAGUCUUGUCCUGGAAGGAAAGCCAUGGCCAGCACGUGCUUGCGAGGGUGCUGGCCAAGGAAAGUGCAGCGGGAUCAAACCCUGGUGCUUCAGGGCGCCUGCUGGCUGUGCGGUGUCCCCCACCCCUGCCCCCCAGGAGAGGGAGGCAGCCUGCAGUGGGGCAGCCACUCAGGUGAUGUCUCCUGGGAUGUGGGAGGAGUCCCAGGGGACCCCUGCUGCCUUCCCGGACGGUUUCAGCUUUGGUCACUGUUGAGUGGGCUGUUCUGAUGCUGAACCCUGCCGAGCUCUUGCUGGUUUGCUGAGGGGCUCUCUGGUGAUGUCUGGUGGCACCAGCCCAAGGCCAGCCCGUCCUCUGGGGUCACUGCUGGGGAAGGAAGCCAUCAGGACACAGCUCCACCACCCGCCGCGUCUGAGCAAACUGACUGCGUCGGCAAAGGCCGGCCCAGGAGUCGCCUCACCCCUUCCUUCCGGAGGCAAGUCCGCUGGGCCCCGCCGCGCCCCACCACGCUCGACCGGGUGACGCUGGCUUGGCCUGGAGGGGCCGUCCCCUAGAGCUCUGGCACUUGCAGAGGCGGGCACCCUGACAUGACGUUAGCAAAGGGCCACAGCUCUCAGAGCGCGACACUCCAACCACACUUCCGAGCCUGGCCUCACGGUCCUUAAAAGAGACCCGUGCCCACGUGGUCACUGGGCUGUCAGUGCCCUGUCCUCAGGGACGAUUGUCCAAGAACCAGGCUUAGCGGAGCCAUGCCAGCCCCUCGUUCCAGAUGGGGAAGGACCCAGCAGAAAGAGCAAAACUGCCCGGCAACAGCUGGCUGACACGGAACACACGAGUCCCCGGGAUCCCAGACCUGCCCAGGUGACACCAAGAUGUCGUAUGUCACCGAGACCGUGUGGUUGCUUCUGUGGUCAUCACCGUGGCAGCAGAUAAGCAACAGGAAAACAGGGCAUGGCAGGUGUGCUCACCAGAGAGCGUGUAGAAAGGAUGAAAAUGCACAGAGUUGGAGGGUCCCCCUCAAGCCCACCACGCAGAGAGAACCACGAUCCCACCUCCACGCUCUGGAGAGUUUUUAGACGUGGACUUAGAGAAAAUGUGAGCAAAAAUCCUACAACCAAAAAUUAUUUUCCUGACCAACUUUGUGUUCCUUUUGCUUUGGCCGCUGGGAAGCUCUUAAUUAAAUUUUUGGCCCAACUUCA